UACGUAGGGUGCGAGCGUUAAUCGGAAUUACUGGGCGUAAAGCGUGCGCAGGCGGUGAUGUAAGACAGGUGUGAAAUCCCCGGGCUUAACCUGGGAACUGCAUUUGUGACUGCAUCGCUGGAGUGCGGCAGAGGGGGAUGGAAUUCCGCGUGUAGCAGUGAAAUGCGUAGAUAUCGGGAGGAACACCAGUGGCGAAGGCGAUCACCUGGGGUUGUUCUGACGCUGAGGAGCGAAAGCUAGGGGAGCAAACGGG
Molecule: ribosomal RNA, 253 nt
Filed under: uncultured bacterium
Lineage: Bacteria
Description: partial 16S ribosomal RNA
Rfam family: Bacterial small subunit ribosomal RNA
Source: RNAcentral